UGCUUCGCCUGCAGCUCGGCCAGCCUGUGCUUCCUCAGCGCCUCGAGCUCCUCCUCCGCCAUGGUGCGGCCGUCCGGAGACAGCAGCCGCGGCCACGCUCCAGCCCACUCGAGAGACCACUGGCAGCCCCUCAACGCGCCCGCCGCCCUCCCCACUGCGCAGGCGCCCGCAGCUCCCAGGCAUCACCAAUCCAGCCCGGAGCCGCGCCGCGCGCCCCAGCCAGGGUGCGGGGAGAGGCCCGAUUCCGCGAUCGCUGGCCGCAGCUUGCGGGGCAGAACCGCUGCGCGGAGCCUUCCGGACUUCGGUUCCACCUCCCGGCUGCAAAUCUGUUCUCUGCGCUCGCGGCCGCCAGCCGGGCAAAGAUAUGGCUGCGUGUGGGAAAAGAUAGUAACCUAGAAACAGGCCAUCCUCAACAAGUAUAAUAACAGGUGUAGACAGUGUCUCUUGACUCCCAGCUUUAAAAGAUGAAGAUGCCAGCAUCUCUAAGCUUCCACGGGAAGGAGAGCAUGCAGACAAGGUUGGCGCAGGCAGAGAACUCAAAGGAGAGAGCAGGGGCCUGAGAAUGCCAGGGAGCGGCCCCCAGUGGUGCUGGGCCAAAGUCAGCCUAAAAGAGGGAUGGAGACUGUGAAGCGACCCGGUGAGUCACAAUAUAUUUCGACUUCCGGGUAAGAUGGCGGAAGAGUAAGACGCGGAGAUCACCUUCCUCCCCACGGAUACAC
Molecule: long non-coding RNA, 719 nt
Organism: Mesoplodon densirostris (Blainville's beaked whale)
Lineage: Eukaryota; Metazoa; Chordata; Mammalia; Artiodactyla; Ziphiidae
Exons: 4
Source: RefSeq, a predicted model, not a curated record